UUUUAUUAAUGGAAAGAUCAUAGAAAAGGAACAUGGCAUUUAGGUGAGGAUCUAUAGUUAAAAUUACUCAGCCUUGUGGUUCUGCCACAUUUUAUAUUUACUCAUCUAAGAAAUGUACUAUAGAAUGUUAGUUUAUAAUAAGCAGACAAUAUGUCAUAACGCUUUCUGUGCAUCAAUGUAAUUUUCAAAUCCAGUUCUCACCAUGAAGAAAAGACAACUAAAAUGACACAAAGUAGAGGUCAGACAGUGGAAUUAAAUCUACGGGAUAGUGAAAUCCAUGGCCCUUUUCUUUCUUCCAAAUUUUUAGCAGAUACUGCAUAUCCUUUUCCCAGGAUAUUCCUGGCCUUUUUUUGCCCAGGAAACAAAGCUGGUUCUAAAAAUUAAAAGUUUCAUAUGUUACCAUUGUCCUUGAAUUCUUAGGUAAGAUGGCUGCCAGAAAGAAGGCCCAGCUUGCAAAUGAGAAAGCUCCUGAAGAAACAGCUGCUGCCACUACUCUGGAUAUUUCCCCAGCUUUGAAUGCAAGCAGCCCUGGAGAUAAUCCCCUGCCCUAGAAGCCUCUCCUGAACACAGAUUCUGGGAUGAAUUUGCAAGCUUCUAUAAACCUACUAGCCAUCUCCUUCUAUUACAAAUGGAAGCUUCAGUAUCUUUUUACUGUCCCUGAAUUGCUGCUUUAUGGUCCAGCUUCAAUAAGUAAAUGAGGAGCAGGAAGAUUUUUUAUUAUGGAACAAGAUGGAAGACUAGAAAGACUGUGAAAGCUGCCUCUUUGUUGAAGUGUGCGUCCUCUCUCUUACUGGGCCAUCAACAAAGGGAACUAUCCUGCUUAAGUCUGUGCUGAAAUAUCUACAUUCCUCUACUGUGUCAGAUGUGCUGUUGUUGUUAUAUUUGGGAAAGUUGUCAAUUAAACACACUGGGAGAAAAGAUAGAUUAAUAAUUCUAUUUUCUAAUUCUAAUAAUAGGAACAUUUAAUAAUUCCUACUGAGUGUUAUCUGGCUAUGUUUUCUCGUCCAAUAGUGCUAAUACUUUGUAACUGAUAUAUUUACAUGACAUGUCCUAUCCAACAAAUAAACUCUUUUAGAUCUUAA
This is a long non-coding RNA of Ahaetulla prasina, 1082 nucleotides long. RefSeq lists it as uncharacterized. The record is from RefSeq and is a predicted model, not a curated record. The transcript has 3 exons. Lineage: Eukaryota; Metazoa; Chordata; Lepidosauria; Squamata; Colubridae.